CCUACGGGAGGCAGCAGUGAGGAAUAUUGCACAAUGGGGGAAACCCUGAUGCAGCAACGCCGCGUGGAGGAUUGACGGUCUUUGGAUUGUAAACUCCUUUUCUGUGGGACGAGCGAGGACGGUACCACAGGAAUCAGUCACGGCUAACUACGUGCCAGCAGCCGCGGUAAUACGUAGGUGGCGAGCGUUAUCCGGAAUUACUGGGCGUAAAGCGCAAGCAGGCGGCUCGUUAAGUUUGACGUAAAAUCUCCUGGCUUAACUGGGAGGGGUCGUUGGAGACUGGCGAGCUUGAGGCGAUGAGAGGGGCAUGGAAUUCCCGGUGUAGUGGUGGAAUGCGUAGAGAUCGGGAGGAACACCAGAGGCGAAAGCGGUGCCCUGGCAUUGGCCUGACGCUCAUGUGCGAAAGCGUGGGGAGCGAACGGGAUUAGAUACCCCGGUAGUCCACGCCGUAAACGAUGAGUACUGGGUGUAGGUGGGGUUAGAGCCAUCUGUGCCGAAGCAAACGCGUUAAGUACUCCGCCUGGGGAGUACGGCCGCAAGGCUAAAACUCAAAUGAAUUGACGG
Molecule: ribosomal RNA, 564 nt
Filed under: uncultured bacterium
Lineage: Bacteria
Description: bacterial SSU rRNA
Rfam family: Bacterial small subunit ribosomal RNA
Source: RNAcentral